ACAGCGUCAGGGCGGGGAGGGCGCUUGGAGAUCCCCCGGGUCGGCCCCCUCCGCACCCCGAUCGACUGAGGCCCGGAGAGUUCAGGAACCGGCUCGGGAGACCUCAGCGCCCGAACUCGGAGUUUUCGGACUUUUCAGGCCUCUGCCAAGGGCUUGGACUCGCAGAUGGUGGAAAGCUGCACUUGAAGUCCAACUCUGUCCUGGGGGAAUAAUUAUGUUCCCUGUCUUGGGAGCCUUUCUUCAGGGAGCUUGAUGGUUCCAACCCACCCAGGAGCCUGGGACAUCUGUGCCCCUGGGCAAUCCCCUGCAGUUUCCUGAUUCCAAGAUGAGGGGGUAGAAUCCGAAGAUCUCCAAGGCCUUGAUGAGUGCUACCAGUCUGCAAAUUCCCAAGCCAAGUUCUUCAAUGAAUCAAAUUUCCUCCAGUAGCCAUUUCUACCAAAGGAGCAACUGUUUUUCCUUCCCACUGACAUGGCUAUGUAUUCGAACUGGAUAUAGGACACUGGGACCUGAAGUCUUGGAGAGGAUGUAAUCACUAAGUCAUCCCAAGGAAGAGUGGGAUGCCUACAAGAGAGGGAUGCCUACAAGAGAGGGAUGCCUAAAUUGGUUACCCCUAAGCCCACCGACUUUUAAGGCAUGUCAGCUCCAAGGACCAUGGCCCCAGGAACUAGGCACAAGUGACAGGAGACACUUGCUAUGUCUAAACCCAGUGCACCCUCAGCCCGGCCUCGCCUUUUCAAGGACGGCUAGCACAGGCCAUCAUCCUGGCCCACGAUGAAGGAUCUCUCUCUGCCACCCAGGCUGGAGUGCAGUGGCACAAUCAUGGCUCACUGCAGCCUCAAACUCCUGCGCUCAAGUGAUCCUCCCACAUCAGCCUCCCAAGUAGCUGGGACUCCAGGUAUGAGAGAACAGAAAUAGAGAUUUGGGUGGCUUUAGCUGUUUAAAAUAAGGUGACCAAACCUCCUUUCUGCCUGUUCCUGCUAUUUCAAACACCACUGUUCUCCACACAAUGAAAAUGGCCUUGUUCCUUAAGCCAAAGAUAGCUGAACUUUUGUUUGACAUUUUACACGGUGUCUUAUACCUGCCUGAAAGAAGGGGUGCAGGUCUUCACAGAAUGAGGAAAGGCCAGAGAUUUGGACUCCAAAGACCACAGCUUGGAUUCUAAGCUGUCACUUACCAGCCAAAAGGGAAUCUUGGCCCAGUCACUGAAGCCCCCUGAGUCUCAACUACCUCAUCUGUAAAGGGUCUCAUCAGGCCCACAUUAGAUUAUCUACUCGACCAUCAGUUCAAGCUCUAAGGUAAAGAUGUAGAGCAACUGGAACUUUCAUACACUGCUGCAACCACUUUGGAGACUAUCAGCAUUUUCCACUAAAGCUGAACAUUAUGGUCUAGAAAUUGCACUCCUGAGCAGCUUCUGAGAGAUGGGGGACGUGGAGCAGUCCUGGGUCUCAUGGUCUGAAGGGAGAAGAAAUCCUGCCCAGGCAGACCACUGUGAAUGUCCAGGCUUGUUUCCACCUGAACAGACUCUCCCUUAGCUAAGAGAACCAGACAAACUCCAUCUUGGCUCUUUCACUGGCAGCCCCUUCCUCAAGGACUUAACUUGUGCAAGCUGACUCCCAGCACAUCCAAGAAUGCAAUUAACUGAUAAGAUACUGUGGCAAGCUAUAUCCACAGUCCCCAAGAAUUCAUCUGUUUGAUAACGCCCAAAGCCCUGCAUCUAUAACCUUGUAAUAGUCUUAAAGCCCCUGCAUCUGGAACUGUUUACUUUCCUGUAACCAUUUAUCCUUUUAACUUUUUGACUACUUAACUUCUGUAAAAUUGUUUUAACUAGACGACCCCCCCUUUCUAAACCAAGGUAUAAAAGUUAAUCAAGCCCCUUCCUCGGGGCCGAGAGAAUUUUGAGCGUUAGCCGUCUCUCGGUCGCCGGCUAAUAAAGGACUCUUAAUUCAU
This is a long non-coding RNA of Homo sapiens (human), 1947 nucleotides long. Ensembl annotates it as papillary thyroid carcinoma susceptibility candidate 2. Its record names the gene PTCSC2. The record is from Ensembl. NCBI's taxonomy places the organism in Eukaryota, Metazoa, Chordata, Mammalia, Primates, Hominidae.